RNAcentral lists this ribosomal RNA (398 nucleotides) under uncultured bacterium. Its description in RNAcentral is "partial 16S ribosomal RNA". It matches the Rfam family "Bacterial small subunit ribosomal RNA", at positions 523 to 918 of the family's 1533-position model. The record is from RNAcentral.
AUACGUAGGGUGCGAGCGUUGUCCGGAAUUACUGGGCGUAAAGAGCUCGUAGGUGGUUUGUCGCGUCGUCUGUGAAAUUCCGGGGCUUAACUCCGGGCGUGCAGGCGAUACGUGCAUAACUUGAGUACUGUAGGGGAGACUGGAAUUCCUGGUGUAGCGGUGAAAUGCGCAGAUAUCAGGAGGAACACCGGUGGCGAAGGCGGGUCUCUGGGCAGUAACUGACGCUGAGGAGCGAAAGCAUGGGUAGCGAACAGGAUUAGAUACCCUGGUAGUCCAUGCCGUAAACGGUGGGCGCUAGGUGUAGGGGUCUUCCACGACUUCUGUGCCGUAGCUAACGCAUUAAGCGCCCCGCCUGGGGAGUACGGCCGCAAGGCUAAAACUCAAAGGAAUUGACGGGG